AGUGAACGCUGGCGGUAGGCCUAACACAUGCAAGUCGAACGGCAGCACAGUAAGAGCUUGCUCUUACGGGUGGCGAGUGGCGGACGGGUGAGGAAUACAUCGGAAUCUACUUUUUCGUGGGGGAUAACGUAGGGAAACUUCCGCUAAUACCGCAUACGCCCUACGGGUGAAAGCAGGGGAUAUUCGGACCUUGCGCGAUUGAAUGAGCCGAUGUCGGAUUAGCUAGUUGGCGGGGUAAAGGCCCACCAAGGCGACGAGCCGUAGCUGGUCUGAGAGGAUGAUCAGCCACACUGGAACUGAGACACGGUCCAGACUCCUACGGGAGGCAGCAGUGGGGAAUAUUGGACAAUGGGCGAAAGCCUGAUCCAGCCAUACCGCGUGGGUGAAGAAGGCCUUCGGGUUGUAAAGCCCUUUUGUUGGGAAAGAAAAGCAGCAGGUUAAUACCCCGCUGUUCUGACGGUACCCAAAGAAUAAGCACCGGCUAACUUCGUG
This 492-nucleotide ribosomal RNA is filed under the name uncultured bacterium. Its description in RNAcentral is "partial 16S ribosomal RNA". It matches the Rfam family "Bacterial small subunit ribosomal RNA", at positions 29 to 507 of the family's 1533-position model. The record is from RNAcentral.